GCCAGACUCCUACGGGAGGCAGCAGUGGGGGAUAUUGCACAAUGGGGGGAACCCUGAUGCAGCGACGCCGCGUGGGUGAAGGAGCGUUUCGGCGCGUAAAGCCCUAUCGGCAGGGAAGAAGGAGGACGGUACCUGACUAAGAAGCCCCGGCUAACUACGUGCCAGCAGCCGCGGAAAUACGUAGGGGGCAAGCGUUAUCCGGAUUUACUGGGUGUAAAGGGGGCGCAGACGGCGGCGCAAGACAGGAGUGAAAGCCCGGGGCCCAACCCCGGGACUGCUCUUGGAACUGCGCGGCUGGAGUGCAGGAGGGGCAGGCGGAAUUCCUGGUGUAGCGGUGAAAUGCGUAGAUAUCAGGAGGAACACCGGUGGCGAAGGCGGCCUGCUGGACUGCGACUGACGUUGAGGCCCGAAAGCGUGGGGAGCAAACAGGAUUAGAUACCCCCGUAAAG
This 449-nucleotide ribosomal RNA is filed under the name uncultured bacterium. Its description in RNAcentral is "partial 16S ribosomal RNA". It matches the Rfam family "Bacterial small subunit ribosomal RNA", at positions 330 to 793 of the family's 1533-position model. The record is from RNAcentral.